GUGCUAACGUCCGUCGUGAAGAGGGAAACAACCCAGACCGCCAGCUAAGGUCCCAAAGUCAUGGUUAAGUGGGAAACGAUGUGGGAAGGCCCAGACAGCCAGGAUGUUGGCUUAGAAGCAGCCAUCAUUUAAAGAAAGCGUAAUAGCUCACUGGUCGAGUCGGCCUGCGCGGAAGAUGUAACGGGGCUAAACCAUGCACCGAAGCUGCGGCAGCGACGCUGAUGCGUUGUUGGGUAGGGGAGCGUUCUGUAAGCCUGCGAAGGUGUGUCGUGAGGCAUGCUGGAGGUAUCAGAAGUGCGAAUGCUGACAUAAGUAACGAUAAAGCGGGUGAAAAGCCCGCUCGCCGGAAGACCAAGGGUUCCUGUCCAACGUUAAUCGGGGCAGGGUGAGUCGACCCCUAAGGCGAGGCCGAAAGGCGUAGUCGAUGGGAAACGGGUUAAUAUUCCCGUACUUGGUGUUACUGCGAAGGGGGGACGGAGAAGGCUAUGUUGGCCGGGCGACGGUUGUCCCGGUUUAAGCGUGUAGG
Molecule: ribosomal RNA, 526 nt
Filed under: Salmonella enterica subsp. enterica serovar Oranienburg
Lineage: Bacteria; Pseudomonadati; Pseudomonadota; Gammaproteobacteria; Enterobacterales; Enterobacteriaceae
Description: bacterial LSU rRNA
Rfam family: Bacterial large subunit ribosomal RNA
Source: RNAcentral